RNAcentral lists this ribosomal RNA (456 nucleotides) under uncultured bacterium. Its description in RNAcentral is "bacterial SSU rRNA". It matches the Rfam family "Bacterial small subunit ribosomal RNA", at positions 8 to 465 of the family's 1533-position model. The record is from RNAcentral.
AGAGUUUGAUCCUGGCUCAGGAUGAACGCUAGCGGGAGGCUUAACACAUGCAAGUCGAGCGGGAUCCCCGAGCAAUCGGGGUGAGAGCGGCGCACGGGUGAGUAACGCGUAUGCAACCUGCCUUUUACAGGGGGAUAGCCCAGGGAAACUUGGAUUAAUACCUCAUGGUACUAUUUGAUCGCAUGGUUAGAUAGUUAAAGAUACGUCGGUAAAAGAUGGGCAUGCGUGGCAUUAGGUAGUUGGGGGGGUAACGGCCCACCAAGCCAGCGAUGCCUAGGGGUUCUGAGAGGAUGAUCCCCCACACUGGUACUGAGACACGGACCAGACUCCUACGGGAGGCAGCAGUGGGGAAUUUUGGACAAUGGGGGCAACCCUGACCCAGCCAUUCCGCGUGAGUGAAGAAGGCCUUCGGGUUGUAAAGCUCUUUCGGCAGGAACGAAACGGUGGGGGCUAAUA